UUCAGCCCUAGGAAGGUCAAAAGCAGAAUGGCCUUGUGUCGAUGACUUUUUCUGUAUGUACAGCUCUGGAUGGAAAACAAAUCAGGCAUCUGGCUCUCAGCCUUGAAGAGCUACGGUCUUUGGAGAAUAGAUGUGUAGUCACACUUUGUUUUCCUUUUUAAAGCAAAAGAACAGAACAAACUCUCUGGGGGGAGAAUGCGCUGGCAGAGACUAGAAGAGAGAAACCAAAUAACGUUUGAAACAAUCUGGGGGUUAAGGGAUUGUCUCAACCAUUCAGAUCAAAGAAGGCUCUUCAGGGUAAGUUGGAGUUGUCUGCCUUUGAAAAUGGAAGGGGCUAAGGUGUGAAAGAUUUCUCCAAACUUGGACAACAGUAGGAGCCCAGAACGCCGUCUGUAGGGGCAGCAAGAAUGCCAGUGGGUAAGUCUUGUAGGCAAACUGGGAAGCACAGGCUUGCUCGAGAGCGGUCUGCUGCUCCCCAGCACCAGCUGCUUGUCAUGUGGAGAAGUAGGCCAUUGAUUGCCUGAAUAGCUGAGCCUUUAAGAGAAAUUAAACAGAAACUUGUCAUUAAAGCUCUUGGUUUUUAAAUGAUGGAACCUAGUCAACUUCUAAAGAGGCACUGAGUAGCCAAAGCCAAGCAUAUCGUAUGUGGGCAAUGUGCUUUCCAUGUCUCUUCCACCUGCAGAGGGGAUGCCUGGACGUGAGGCAGAGAGUUGACAUUCAGUAGGAACUGCCUUUUCUUUUUAUAACUGAGACUCCUAACUCCAGUAUCAUUUCUCAUGGUUUCAUGUGUUUGGGCUCAUUUGGAGCCAACGCUGACAAUGGAAGAUGGCUGAGCAAACAAAGGUAUUGUUGUAAACGUCAAACACAAUCCAAGCCAAAGGACGAGAACAAGCCCUAGCAUGGGCUUUACGCAUUAUAAAAAACAUGAUUAAGUCCUGGCGGUUAUACUCCUGGCUGGUUCUUAUUUCAGCUUUGGUUCCUCUUGCUCAUUCCUCAUAAAAAUUAUUAGUGUGGAUUGUGUA
Felis catus (domestic cat) is the source of this 1022-nucleotide long non-coding RNA. RefSeq lists it as uncharacterized. The transcript has 2 exons. The record is from RefSeq and is a predicted model, not a curated record. NCBI's taxonomy places the organism in Eukaryota, Metazoa, Chordata, Mammalia, Carnivora, Felidae.